GUAAAUCUAGGAAAUUACAUAACCUUCGCAUGCUACAUGUAGCAGGAAAUUACUCUAAAAUAUUGAGGUAGUUCCAAUGUAAAAUCUAGGGUAAUUUCCAGAAACAUUCAGUAGCAGAAACUAAUGACAAUGCAAGUAAAAACGGAUGACACUGAAAAUACCCAAGAGUUACACUGAAAGUGACCAAGAUUUACAGUGUAAAUCCCCCUAUAAAUUACAUAGUACAUACACAGUAAUUACACUGCAAGCACACAAGGAAUUACACUUGUAAAAACUGAUGAGACUACACUAAAUUACAGUGUAAAUGAGCAGGAAUUACAGUGUGAAACCCAAGAAUCCAAAGCUUGUAAUUACAGUGCAAGUGACCAAGAAUUACAUUGUAAAACCUCUAUAAAAUACAUUAUACAUACAAUGUAAUUACACAGCAAGUACCCAUGGCUUACACUGUAAUACCCAAGCUUUACGAUGAAAGUGCUUACAGUGCAAUACCCUCGAAGAAUACAGAAAAAAUACACAGGGAAUUAGAAUGAAAUUAUGCAGGGAUUUGCAGUGAUGAAGCUAUGCGGUAAAACCCCAAUAAAUUACAAUAAAACUUCAGAGCUACUUCACUAUAAUUUACAGUGUUAGUUCCGAGGAUACACUUGGAAUACCCCAACUAUUGGAAGCAAAAAUACAUAAAGUACAACUGUUUAAGUACCCAGCAAAAUUCAUCUAUAUCUAAACGGUUUGUUGCUCAAUAUUAUGUUGAUACUGGCAUUUUUUGUUCAAAUAUGCCAGAUGAGGAGCAUGAUAAAGACAGCAACUGAAGAUGAUCUAUUGAGAUUGUCUCAGGAAGAACUCAUUCUAAAUGUGAGUUACACAUUUGUUUCAGAAUAUGUUGAAAGACACUAUAGGAACAUUCUAAAUACAUAAAUAAUAAUAAAAGCUCACAACAAAUAUGUCGCAGGACACAUUUUCUAUCACCGCACUUCUACAUUCCGAUAUUAUAUUCAGUAAAAGCAAAAUUCAAAUACCACAGAGCUACCAAUCUGAGAAAAGCACAACUAUAGAAAACAAAUUGCCCUUUUGCUUGCAGGUACACUCAGGAGAUGGGCCUAUGAACAUGGAAGCAGAUGAUAAUUUCCUUUCAAGCAUUUUACGUUCUGAAAUGACAAAAACACAAGGGCCACCCAAAGAAAAUACACAAAACAAAAUCAAAAUAGUACAAGAAAAGGAAAACACACUUGAUUCAAAUAGAACUUCAAAAGAGAUUUGUCAAACCCUCCUUCAUCACCAGAUAGUUCCUGCAAAAAUAUAUUAAAAACUCAACAGACUAAAAUUAAAUAAAACAACCUCAAUAACUAAGAACAAUAAAAUAAAGCUAGAUAAGAAGAAAGAAAUAACUACCGUAGACAUAGGAUAAGAACCAUCUUCCGCAAAGUCGUUAGGCACAAUAGGUUCACCCACAGAAUCUGCAUUGUCAAGAGAUGAUACUAACCAAACGUCCAGAUGAGAGACUUUCUGUAGCCUACUCAUUAAAGUAAAACAUAUAAACAGAAUACAUGAAGGAGGAAAAAGAAAAGAAGUAAAAUAGUAGAACAAAAUCUCCAUACACUUCAUUAAAGAAUACACAUGAACAGCUAAUGUAACACUAUUUACUAGACAAAUCUAGAAAGAACACAAAAACAAUCAUCAACCUAAAACAGGACCUCUGCUCAAUACUACUGCAACGGAGACACACUAGCACAAGAAAAGAAGAAAAUAAAAAAGCAAGAAAAUACAUGAAUUGCAGUCCUAAAAGCAUGCUAAUUACACAGCAAAAUCAGAGGUAAAUCAACUGUGACAAAUACGUUGUAAGCCGUACAACAAUUACAAUGUUGAAGCAUUCAAAUUACAGUGUAAAUCUGCAGUAAAUUACAGUGUAAGCCCUCCAAUUCAAAGGUAAAAUCCACUGUAAUCUACCUCGCAAAUACCUACAACAAAUACAAUGUCGAACCAUACAAAUUAUAGUGUAAAACUAUGGCAUACUACAGUGUAAGCCCAGACGAAGAAGCCAAUGUAAUCUAUCUGAAGCAUAUAACAAUUACAGUUCUGAAGCAUAUAAAUUACAGAGAAAAUCUAGGGUAUAUUACAGUGAUGAAACAUUUGAAAGUAAUCUAUCUGACAAAAACUGAAAGCCCUACAACAAUUACAGUGCUGUACCAUGCAAAUUACAGUGUAAAACUGGGAACCAUGCAAUAAUUACAGUCCUGAAGCAUACAAAAUACAGUGAAAAUCUGGGGUAUAUUACACUGUAAAUCUGGGGUUAGUAAACGAAAAUGCAAUUGUAGGCAUAUACAGUGCCAUCUGGGCUAGAAUACACUAUAAUUUUAGGGUACAUUACACUGUAAUUAGAAUAAAGAAGCAUGGGGAUCACACUCCAAUUAUGGGAUACAUUACACUGUAAUUCUGAGGUAUAUUGCACUGACAAAAAUAAGAAAAAUCCAUGGACUAACACUACAUCAGCACUGCAGGCCUAGUACACACUAAUUCAUUGAGAUUCAGGAACCAGGGAAACUGAACACCUACAUCUAACAAGAAAAAUUCAUGAGGGAUUCAGAAACUACAAGAGCAAACAUGUGCAGGUAAGACACAUAAGGAGCCAACAAUUCAGAAACCAUAAUAGAGCAGGAAACUUAAACAAAUAGCACCUACAUCUACAUCACAAAGGGCCGGGCCAAAAUCAAACUAGGAAGGGCAAACAAAUUCAGAGGAAGGAUACACAAAUUAGCUACUACAUCCACAUUGCAUAAGCCAGCAGAAUCCCAGGCCAAGCCAUAUACAACUACAUCUACCGAUAAAAAUGCAGGCGGAAUAGACACCCAGGCCUGCAGAAAUAAAAUGGACAGGGGAAUCCACCACUACAACUACAACUUCGCCUACCUCUACAUCUACAGCAGAGGAAACAAAUCAGCAGGGGUGAAAACGACCACAACGACCAGAUGACCUAGAACACCCGAUGACUUACAGAACAAAUCACCCAUCUCAGGCAAGUAGAAGGGGAGCAAAAUGGCGGACUACAACAUGGCCGCAACAUGCACCUGCCACGGAUCCAAACAAGAAACUCAUCCUAGAUUUUGAAGCUACACAGCCACAACACAAGCAAAAUCAUACCGGGGAGGGCGAGAGACAAGAACAACCGACCGCGGCAGCCAGGGAUCAAAGAGAAAGGGAAGAGAAAUCAAGAUCGAGCGGUGGAAUAUCUCGGAAUCGACAUGAACAGAAGGAAUUGCCUCCUCUGCUCCGCCACUCGAACUCUUUCUCUCUCCCCUCGGCAUUAUCUAAACAGAGCCACCAAAUGAAAGAGGAAACGACACCCACUCCUAAAUACAAAAAGGAAAAAAAAUCAAUAGUGUCGGGCCAGGGCGACGGUAACGGGCUGAGACACAAAACCGC
RNAcentral lists this long non-coding RNA (3414 nucleotides) under Triticum aestivum (bread wheat). RNAcentral's name for it is "long non-coding RNA (TAES_LNC018423)". Lineage: Eukaryota; Viridiplantae; Streptophyta; Magnoliopsida; Poales; Poaceae. The record is from RNAcentral.